This 90-nucleotide transfer RNA is filed under the name Klebsiella pneumoniae. RNAcentral's name for it is "tRNA-Ser(gga)". It matches the Rfam family "tRNA". Rfam says of the family: Transfer RNA (tRNA) molecules are approximately 80 nucleotides in length. Their secondary structure includes four short double-helical elements and three loops (D, anti-codon, and T loops). The record is from RNAcentral. Lineage: Bacteria; Pseudomonadati; Pseudomonadota; Gammaproteobacteria; Enterobacterales; Enterobacteriaceae. RNAcentral also lists the same sequence under 22 other names.
GGUGAGAUGUCCGAGUGGCUGAAGGAGCACGCCUGGAAAGUGUGUAUGCGCGAAAGUGCAUCGAGGGUUCGAAUCCCUCUCUCACCGCCA